RNAcentral lists this ribosomal RNA (245 nucleotides) under Cylindrospermopsis raciborskii C07. RNAcentral describes it as "partial 16S ribosomal RNA". It matches the Rfam family "Bacterial small subunit ribosomal RNA", at positions 1 to 273 of the family's 1533-position model. The record is from RNAcentral. Lineage: Bacteria; Bacillati; Cyanobacteriota; Cyanophyceae; Nostocales; Aphanizomenonaceae.
AAAACGGAGAGUUUGAUCCUGGCUCAGGAUGAACGCUGGCGGUAUGCUUAACACAUGCAAGUCGAACGGGGUGCUUAGGCAUCUAGUGGCGGACGGGUGAGUAACGCGUGAGAAUCUGGCUCCAGGUCGGGGAUAACAGUUGGAAACGACUGCUAAUACCGGAUGUGCCGAGAGGUGAAAGAUUUAUUGCCUGGAGAUGAGCUCGCGUCUGAUUAGCUAGUUGGUGGUGUAAGGGACCACCAAGG